UUCCGGUUGAUCCCGCCGGACCCGACUGCUAUUUGGGUGAGGAUAAGCCAUGCGAGUUGAAUGGGAAACCUAAAAAUCCCAUGGCAAACUGCUCAGUAACACAUGAUCAACUUACCCUAUAGAGGAAAAUAACCUCGGGAAACUGAGGAUAAUGUUCCAUAGUUGAAUCGGCUUGGAAAAGUUUUUCAAUAAAAGGGAUAAGGAAAAUGGUCCUUAUCUGCUAUAGGAUAGGAUCGUGCUCGAUUAUGGUUGUUGGUGAGGUAAAGGCUCACCAAGCCGAUAAUCGAUAGGGGCCGUGAGAGCGGGAGCCCCGAGAUGGGUACUGAGACAACGACCCAGGCCUUACGAGGCGCAGCAGGCGCGAAACCUCCGCAAUACACGAAAGUGUGACGGGGUUACCCAAAGUGUUCAUUAGAACUGUGGUAGGUGAGUAAUGUUCCCUACUAGAAAGGAGAGGGCAAGGCUGGUGCCAGCCGCCGCGGUAAAACCAGCUCUUCAAGUGGUCGGGAUAAUUAUUGGGCUUAAAGUGUCCGUAGCCGGUUUAGUAAGUUCCUGGUAAAAUCGGGUAGCUUAACUAUCUAUAUGCUAGGAAUACUGCUAUACUAGAGGGCGGGAGAGGUCUGAGGUACUACAGGGGUAGGGGUGAAAUCUUAUAAUCCUUGUAGGACCACCAGUGGCGAAGGCGUCAGACUGGAACGCGCCUGACGGUGAGGGACGAAAGCCAGGGGAGCGAACCGGAUUAGAUACCCGGGUAGUCCUGGCCGUAAACGAUGCAUACUAGGUGAUGGCACGGCCAUGAGCCGUGUCAGUGCCGUAGGGAAACCGUUAAGUGUGCCGCCUGGGAAGUACGGUCGCAAGGCUAAAACUUAAAGGAAUUGGCGGGGGAGCACCACAAGGGGUGAAGCCUGCGGUUCAAUUGGAUUCAACGCCGGAAAUCACUAGUGCGGCCG
RNAcentral lists this ribosomal RNA (950 nucleotides) under uncultured archaeon. RNAcentral's name for it is "bacterial SSU rRNA". It matches the Rfam family "Archaeal small subunit ribosomal RNA", at positions 1 to 941 of the family's 1478-position model. The record is from RNAcentral.